GAUGAAGAACGUAGCGAAAUGCGAUAAGUAGUGUGAAUUGCAGAAUUCAGUGAAUCAUCGAAUCUUUGAACGCACAUUGCGCCCCUUGGUAUUCCAUGGGGCAUGCCUGUUCGAGCGUCAUUUGUACCCUCAAGCUCUGCUUGGUGUUGGGUGUUUGUCUCGCGUUGCGCGUAGACUCGCUUAAAGCGAUUGGCAGCCGGCAUAUUGGCCUUGGAGCGCAGCACAUUUUGCGCAUCAAACCAAGAAUGUUGGCGUCCAACAAGCCUAUACAUUUGCUCUUGACCUCGGAUCAGGUAGGGAUACCCGCUGAACUUAAGCAUAUCAAUAAGCGGAGGA
Molecule: unclassified non-coding RNA, 336 nt
Filed under: soil metagenome
Description: partial contains 5.8S ribosomal RNA, internal transcribed spacer 2, and large subunit ribosomal RNA
Rfam family: 5.8S ribosomal RNA (bases 1-120)
Source: RNAcentral